RNAcentral lists this ribosomal RNA (301 nucleotides) under uncultured bacterium. RNAcentral describes it as "partial 16S ribosomal RNA". It matches the Rfam family "Bacterial small subunit ribosomal RNA", at positions 509 to 809 of the family's 1533-position model. The record is from RNAcentral.
CAGCAGCCGCGGUAAUACGAAGGGUGCAAGCGUUACUCGGAAUUACUGGGCGUAAAGCGUGCGUAGGUGGUUGUUUAAGUCUGCUGUGAAAGCCCUGGGCUCAACCUGGGAAUUGCAGUGGAUACUGGGCGACUAGAGUAAGGUAGAGGAUAGUGGAAUUUCCGGUGUAGCAGUGAAAUGCGUAGAGAUCGGAAGGAACAUCUGUGGCGAAGGCGACUAUCUGGGCCAUUACUGACACUGAGGCACGAAAGCGUGGGGAGCAAACAGGAUUAGAUACCCCAGUAGUCCCUGUCUCUUAUAA